Molecule: long non-coding RNA, 486 nt
Organism: Cannabis sativa
Lineage: Eukaryota; Viridiplantae; Streptophyta; Magnoliopsida; Rosales; Cannabaceae
Exons: 2
Source: RefSeq, a predicted model, not a curated record
GUGAGGAUGGAGAAGGAUUAUGGGUUGAUAUGGAUUGAUAUCAAUAUUAACCCAUAAUCGAUAUUCGCAUUGAUACGCGAUGUAAUGGUACGUUCUUUAUGGAUGAUCCAAAUUUGAAUUUGGACCUCUUCGGUCAAUCUGUUGCUGAUGACAGCGAAGAUGAUGUACAACAAGAUCACCAAGAAGAAGAGGGGAAUGAAUCAGGCCCCGGUGUACGUGGUAAAUAUAUUGGUAGAGAGAUGAUAAAGAUGAGGAGCGACGGGAAGAAGAAGGAAGUCGAGUACAACUCAUGGGGUCAAGCUAUUAGUGAUGGUGCAGACAAACUUCAUAGUGAGAUUGGUAAAUAUCGUCGCCACCACGUUACAUUGCUUGUGGAUGAUUGGCGACUUAUAUCGAAAGAAGUGAAAGAUAAGUUGUGGAAUGAAAUGCUGGUAAUUUUUUAUUCAACUAUAGUAAAUUAAAUUAAUUACAUUUGUUAAUCUUUAA